Molecule: ribosomal RNA, 497 nt
Filed under: uncultured bacterium
Lineage: Bacteria
Description: partial 16S ribosomal RNA
Rfam family: Bacterial small subunit ribosomal RNA
Source: RNAcentral
GAUGAACGCUGGCGGCGUGCCUAAUACAUGCAAGUCGAGCGAACAGACGAGGAGCUUGCUCCUCUGACGUUAGCGGCGGACGGGUGAGUAACACGUGGAUAACCUACCUAUAAGACUGGGAUAACUUCGGGAAACCGGAGCUAAUACCGGAUAAUAUAUUGAACCGCAUGGUUCAAUAGUGAAAGACGGUUUUGCUGUCACUUAUAGUUGGAUCCGCGCCGCAUUAGCUAGUUGGUAAGGUAACGGCUUACCAAGGCGACGAUGCGUAGCCGACCUGAGAGGGUGAUCGGCCACACUGGAACUGAGACACGGUCCAGACUCCUACGGGAGGCAGCAGUAGGGAAUCUUCCGCAAUGGGCGAAAGCCUGACGGAGCAACGCCGCGUGAGUGAUGAAGGUCUUCGGAUCGUAAAACUCUGUUAUUAGGGAAGAACAAAUGUGUAAGUAACUAUGCACGUCUUGACGGUACCUAAUCAGAAAGCGACGGCUAACUACGUG